GAUGAACGCUAGCGGCAGGCUUAACACAUGCAAGUCGAGGGGCAGCACGGGUAGCAAUACCUGGUGGCGACCGGCGCAAGGGUGCGUAACGCGUGAGCAACAUGCCCUAUACAGGGGGAUAAUCCAGGGAAACUUGGUCUAAUAUCCCAUAGUAUUUAGAGGAGGCAUCUUCUAUAAAUUAAAGCUUCGGUGGUAUAGGAUUGGCUCGCGUGACAUUAGCUAGAUGGUGAGGUAACGGCUCACCAUGGCAAUGAUGUCUAGGGGUUCUGAGAGGAAGGCCCCCCACACUGGGACUGAGACACGGCCCAGACUCCUACGGGAGGCAGCAGUGAGGAAUAUUGGACAAUGGAUGGAAAUCUGAUCCAGCCAUGCCGCGUGCAGGAAGACAGCCCUAUGGGUUGUAAACUGCUUUUAUAUGGGAGCAAUAAGGUCUACGUGUAGACUGAUGAGAGUACCAUAUGAAUAGC
RNAcentral lists this ribosomal RNA (467 nucleotides) under uncultured bacterium. RNAcentral describes it as "bacterial SSU rRNA". It matches the Rfam family "Bacterial small subunit ribosomal RNA", at positions 28 to 491 of the family's 1533-position model. The record is from RNAcentral.